RNAcentral lists this ribosomal RNA (443 nucleotides) under uncultured bacterium. RNAcentral describes it as "partial 16S ribosomal RNA". It matches the Rfam family "Bacterial small subunit ribosomal RNA", at positions 338 to 795 of the family's 1533-position model. The record is from RNAcentral.
CCUACGGGAGGCAGCAGUGGGGAAUAUUGGGCAAUGGGCGCAAGCCUGACCCAGCAACGCCGCGUGAAGGAAGAAGGCUUUCGGGUUGUAAACUUCUUUUCUGAGGGACGAAGAAAGUGACGGUACCCCAGGAAUAAGCCACGGCUAACUACGUGCCAGCAGCCGCGGUAAUACGUAGGUGGCAAGCGUUAUCCGGAUUUAUUGGGUGUAAAGGGCGUGUAGGCGGGAAAGCAAGUCAGAUGUGAAAACUCAGGGCUCAACCCUGAGACUGCAUUUGAAACUGUUUUUCUUGAGUGCUGGAGAGGCAAUCGGAAUUCCGUGUGUAGCGGUGAAAUGCUUAGAUAUACGGAGGAACACCAGUGGCGAAGGCGGAUUGCUGGACAAUAACUGACGCUGAGGCGCGAAAGCGUGGGGAGCAAACAGGAUUAGAUACCCUGGUAGUC